GUUGAUCAUGGCUCAGGAUGAACGCUGGCGGCGUGCCUAAUACAUGCAAGUCGAGCGUAACGGACGAGAAGCUUGCUUCUCUGAUGUUAGCGGCGGACGGGUGAGUAACACGUGGAUAACCUACCUAUAAGACUGGGAUAACUUCGGGAAACCGGAGCUAAUACCGGAUAAUAUUUUGAACCGCAUGGUUCAAAAGUAAAAGACGGUCUUGCUGUCACUUAUAGAUGGAUCCGCGCUGCAUUAGCUAGUUGGUAAGGUAACGGCUUACCAAGGCAACGAUGCAUAGCCGACCUGAGAGGGUGAUCGGCCACACUGGAACUGAGACACGGUCCAGACUCCUACGGGAGGCAGCAGUAGGGAAUCUUCCGCAAUGGGCGAAAGCCUGACGGAGCAACGCCGCGUGAGUGAUGAAGGUCUUCGGAUCGUAAAACUCUGUUAUUAGGGAAGAACAUAUGUGUAAGUAACUGUGCACAUCUUGACGGUACCUAAUCAGAAAGCCACGGCUAACUACGUG
RNAcentral lists this ribosomal RNA (514 nucleotides) under uncultured microorganism. Its description in RNAcentral is "bacterial SSU rRNA". It matches the Rfam family "Bacterial small subunit ribosomal RNA", at positions 11 to 507 of the family's 1533-position model. The record is from RNAcentral.